GCCCGAAUGGUGGAAUUGGCUAUACACUGGAGACUUAAAAUCUCCCGCCUUUUUAGGAUUGCGAGUUCGACUCUCGCUUCGGGCACCA
This 88-nucleotide transfer RNA is filed under the name compost metagenome. RNAcentral describes it as "tRNA-Leu". It matches the Rfam family "tRNA". Rfam says of the family: Transfer RNA (tRNA) molecules are approximately 80 nucleotides in length. Their secondary structure includes four short double-helical elements and three loops (D, anti-codon, and T loops). The record is from RNAcentral.